GUUUGUUUUUCUAGCGGGGUAUUGUCAUCUGUUGUUUCCCCAGUAGCCUUUCCCAAGGCUUCCAACUCUACUUCCUUUUUUAACCCUUGAUCAAGGGUAGUUUUGACUGGGUUUUCUAGCAGUUCUUUCCCAUAUUACAAGGUGAUGGCACUGAUAUUGGGCUGCGGGUUCACUUCUGUUUGGGAGGGCAAUCUGCCCUAAGUUCAAGCUGGCUCAUGGAAGUCGCGAGUUGGCUGACUUGUGUCUCAAAUUUUGAAUGCUAGCUCUUGUUUCCUAUAAAAAUUGUUGGGUGUUAGAGGCAAGUGACUUAAUAAUUUUCUCGAAGGACAUACCUUAUUUGGGGGGUGUUACUUACUGCAGUGGAAUUCGUAUGUUUGGGUAUUAUUGGUAGUUUUACUGCCUCGCUCCAUAGCUAAUGUUGGGGUGGUCUCUCCAUAUGGGAUUAUACAUGUUGGAGAAAGGAUCAUACCUCCUUUGUUUAUGAGUUGGGAAGCCACCCACCACAUUGACUUACUGACGGUCAUCAUCCUAGAGCAUGGAGCAUAUAUCCCUGGGGUGUCCGAAUGUGCACAAAUCCUGCAUACU
RNAcentral lists this long non-coding RNA (585 nucleotides) under Carica papaya (papaya). Its description in RNAcentral is "long non-coding RNA (CPAP_LNC004337)". The record is from RNAcentral. Lineage: Eukaryota; Viridiplantae; Streptophyta; Magnoliopsida; Brassicales; Caricaceae.